Molecule: long non-coding RNA, 1011 nt
Organism: Nannospalax galili (Upper Galilee mountains blind mole rat)
Lineage: Eukaryota; Metazoa; Chordata; Mammalia; Rodentia; Spalacidae
Exons: 3
Source: RefSeq, a predicted model, not a curated record
UCGCGCUGCUGGGCGGGUCUCUCUGGCUCUCCUUGGCUGCCGGGAAGUGCAAACGGGGCUCUGCAGAUCGCCUGGUCCACGCCUGGCGCUGGCGGCUCUGCGGGUUGCUGCAAGCUGCCAGGCGGGUUCUGCAGCGGCCGUGGAGAGUGCAGACUCUGCGCCAGCUGUGGGACGCUCCCUCUGUGCACGAGGUCCGUUGGCCACCGAACCACGAGGUCGGGGAAGGUGCAGGAAUAGCGAACGCAGAAGCUUCCCAUUUGUUCACAUCUCAAGAAUCACCGUCACCUCCCCUCAAGCCGCCAGGGCGCAGGUGCCCCCAGCAACUUUUCUCCCAGUGUCUAGUGCUGAUCUGUCUCUCACUACUGAACAGGAAGUUGAGGAGUUGUCCAGGCCUCUGCAGCAGUCCCAGGGUGUUUUCCGGUUUUAUCACGCCCAGCUCACCGAAACAUUUCUUAAAGAACUUAAAGGGAACGUCAACUUGACCAACAAAUGCCAUGUUUUGCAACGCUCCAACACUUCAUUUCAAGAACUGCUGUCUUCCGUUUACAUUUAAGGACAUAGAACUCAUAAGCCCACCCUGGUCAACUUGGUUCUCUUGAACAAUUAACUGCAGUUUAGCUAAUUACACUUAUCUUUAGCUUGAAACCAAGCAGCUAUUCACACUGCUCAUGUUGUGUGGUGGUCACACAGUGACAAAAAUAAAUAAAUAAACAAACAAAUAAAUAAAUCCCCUUCUCUGUGUCUGCCCUGCGCCAUCCUUGUCCUGUUUGGUCCUUGCUGAUGUUCUUCUCCUCCACUUAACGUCUGGGAGCACUGCAGGGUUCUCAGGAAAAUUCCAGGAAAUAGACAUUUCCCCUAGAUCCUGCUCGACAUCCUACACUUGCUUCAUGGAUUUUGCCUCUUGCGCUUGUCUAUUCGCUUCCAACAAAACCUGGUUUCAUCCUUAUUAUAUUCGGUUUGUGUCCUCCUCUUCCUCGCUCUGGUCCUCUUUCUGUCCCGUCUCUUCCGCCU